CUAGCUCUUGAGGGAGGAGGACCUAACUGCCUAGGAGCUGAGGGUGCAGGCAACCAAGAAGGGCUGGGGAAAGACAUUGGACAGGAGAACAGGAACAGGAACACAGACGGGAACCAGGUCCUCAGGGACAGGUGUCAGGAAUGGGAACACAACAGGAAUUGGACCUCAGGAUCUUUGAUGCCAGAAAACCUCUGUCCAUUGCCGGAACUCCUUCCAUAGACACAUACUCAUCAGUUCUGGAUACAUCCCCUUGAACGAUCCCGUGGUCUGACUCUCCACCCAUUCACUGCCACCUGGCACAGUAAAGGAAUUUGACUCAGGAUUCUCGUCUGCUCUCCAAAUUGCUGGUGAUGUGGUGAGGCCACUGUUCAAUCAACAGUAACCUCUGGGAAAUGUAUAACUCUCUAACCUACAUAGUGCAGCAUAAUCACACUAGCUCAAGGGAUACUUCUGGGAGUCUGCUUUGGUUAAGGCGACCUUCAUACAGGUUUUAAUCAGGUCCAUGAAGCUCUAGGGUUUUGCUUCAUUCGUUUUUUGUAACAUUUUGCAAACAAGUCUGCAAAGAAGGCAUCAACAAGUUUUAACAACUCUGACAAGACAAUAUGUUCCCUUCCUCUCUUAGAGUUACUGUGUCCCCUGGGCAUGGGUCUGUUUAACCACACAACAAAAAUGUUUAGGGAGUGGUGUGGGACUCCUACCUGCUUGUCCUGCUGCUGAUCCUUUGUGGGUUAGUGGUGCAUCCUGUGUGACUGCAUCCAGCUAGUAGCUGGAAUCACGUCCCAGUACUGACACACGCAUUCCAGCAAAACAGGCACUGUGGGAUUAUGUAUGCCCCCAUAAGGAUUUUGUUUUCAGGCUCCAUCAGGAAACAAAGUCUCAAGCCUUUCUAGAGAAGGUCUGGGCCUUGGAGUGCGGCAAGCAGGCACUGGGAGCAAGGGUCAGCAAGUGACAGGCAAGAGGGACAGGCAGGGCCCAGAGACACCAUCCCAUAGCCCAUCCUGGGUCAGAAAGACACUGAGGAAGGAAGAGCUGGAAAGGAGUGGCAAUAUUCUGAAAAUGCUGCCACCUUGUGUCUACUUUGGAGAUCUGAAAACCUACACUCCAAACUCCCACACCAAAAUAGUAACUGGAGUUUGCACCGUGGUCCAGUGCCUUGCUAUGAAACAACCACUAGAAAGUGAGAGUUGAUUGUAUGGCUUGAGGUGGCUUGUGUAUCAAUUUGCAAUCUAGUUAGCUAGCUACAGUAGUUACUUGUGUGGCCCCAUUACUGUAGUGUCUGAGCUUAUCUAUAUAGUAGUAUGGCAAUGUGCAUAAUACUCCAAUAAAUUAACCAGCCACAACUGGGUAAAACAAAUAAUUUAUCUUUGUAUCUUUAGUAUCCAUAGCAGGGCUGGAUGCAGCUAUGAGAAGAAACUGGAACUGGAUGGAUUCCACUGAUAGCCAAGCCAAAAAACUCAUUGCUGUAUAUUCUUCAGAGGAGAGGCCAAGGGGGUUUGGUUUGGUUUGUUGAAUUAUUUUUUAACCUAAAAGGUCAGUUUUAACCUAAAAGGUCACACUCAUCAUUUUUUUUAGUCAGAGCCUAAACAGAUUGUUCAGAUCUGUAUGUUUCCGUUGCAAACAUUCUAUACUACAUUAGUUUAAUGGCACAGUCACUAUGAAUUACAAACUUCCUCUGCUCCCCCCUGUGCUGAUGAAACAUGGCAACAUAAGGAACAUCUGUUCUGUUACCCUUUGCUGGAAAUGGGAAACAUCAUAUUACAUUUUUGUUAUUAGACUUAUUUGGAUGCCAUUGGGUUUUUUCUAAACACAUCAAGGCAGCUGAAUAACCUUAAUUGAGUACCACAGAAAAAGCAUGGUUUCAUGCAAAUACAGCUGCCAACAUAAUUAUUAGGACAAUACUGAGCUUCUAUUCCUGAGAUCUGUUCUAUUUCUAUGGUUUUUCUAUUGCUCCCUUGCUGCUGAAUCUCAUUAUAAACAUCUCCACACAAACCAAUCUACAGCUCUGCCAACAUAGUUAGACAGUAAACAAGUUAAAUCCUUAAUGGUUGACAUUAAGAAUCCAAAUAAAUCUAAGGAUCAGCAUGUGUGCUGAACCUUUUAUUUAUGUAGGAAAUUAAUCACCUCCUCCUCACUAGCAACACAAGUGCACUGAAAGUAGCACCAGGAACUACCUCCAAUAGUUAAAUUGCUGUUUUAUCAACAAAUUUAAACAGCCCCCAAGAUUUCUAUUACAAUUUAGUUAAAGGCAACCGAUUUCUCUUGUUGCUUUGGAUAGUUGCUUGAGCCAGGUCUUCCUGCAUCUGUAAACAGAGGCAAUGUUCCCAGAAUUAAUUACCUUGGAUUCAUUCCUAUUAUAUGACCAAGCACACCACACGCAGCAGUUAAUCAGGGUACAUCCAUGCAACCUCUAGCCUACCCAGCACAUAGAAUCAUUUCAUUAUUUAAACUCAUUGGGAUUGAAAUUUAUGGUACUACUUAAGGAGCAAGGUAAGGGAGUAUGGGUGACAGAAUCUGUUCCUUAGAUUUUUUCCAGUGCCUUUUUAGAAUGCUAAGUACUUUGUGUAUCAUAAAACUAACUGUACAUUCAUUAGUAACCACAAAACUACUAAUAAUGUACCUCACUCUUAAUCUUAAUGAACCCUAAUGAAAUUGUAAUGUCUCCCCACUUGAAAUUUCUUGCAUGAUGUGCCCUAAACAUUCCAGAAAAUGUUUACCCUGGGAUGGCAUGUAACAUUUCUCCUUUAUUUGUUUGCUUUGCAGAAGUUAGGUGAAGACUGAAAAUCAGGCUCCUAAUAUAAU
Molecule: long non-coding RNA, 2799 nt
Organism: Dermochelys coriacea (leatherback sea turtle)
Lineage: Eukaryota; Metazoa; Chordata; Testudines; Dermochelyidae
Exons: 4
Source: RefSeq, a predicted model, not a curated record